UUUUAGCAAGACGAUGUCGCAUCCGGUGAAGAAGACGCCGUAACCAUUUGUGUACCUAUGGAAUCCGAUCAAAAUCUCUGUAACGGAUGAGUUUCUGCUUAACUCCUCCAUCAAUUGACUCAUUAAACUGCAUUCAACUUCCUUCCCCUCCGCUCAUUAUUUGAGCCUCAUCAUCGUCAAAGAUGCUUAAACACCACUGAUAUCCAUCUGCUGAGAAGAAAGCCGGUGAGCUGAUAGGCGUUGAACUCAUCGAUUUGAAGAUACGUUGGUUAUUAAUUUCUUUGCUUUCAUUUAUCAACUUUUCAAUUUGAUGUUAUCUUAUUUCACUUCCCCUUAUCAGUCUUCGCUAAUCCAGACAUCAAUAUGUGUUCACCGGCUUAACACUUCCCGACAUCAUCUCAGUGAAGGUUUUGUGUACUAGCUCAGUGGUUUCGAUGUCAUACAGACUCCCCUGUCUCCAUUCGAUUCAAUGAUGGUACUUCGUUUGCAGCAAAAACUGAAUCGAACUGCAAAGAAGGGAGUUUUGUUCAGCAUUGGAGUGAUUUGUUAUUUACUACAUCUGGUCUUUACUGGUAGAGUAGAGAUUCACAAUAUCGUCAAUCUAAGGAACGAUGUAGAGAGGCUUCUUGAAUGUUAGAACGAUGUAUUGAGACGAAAACAUCAAGAGGUUAUUAAGAUAUGCUGCAAUAUAGAGAAAUUAUUAGAAUUUCAGGUUG
Brassica oleracea var. oleracea is the source of this 716-nucleotide long non-coding RNA. RefSeq lists it as uncharacterized. The transcript has 4 exons. Lineage: Eukaryota; Viridiplantae; Streptophyta; Magnoliopsida; Brassicales; Brassicaceae. The record is from RefSeq and is a predicted model, not a curated record.